UCAAAGCAGCCUCAACCUCUUGGGCUCAAGUGAUCUUCCCACCUCAGCCUCCCAAAUAGCUGGGACCACAGGCAUGUGCCACCACACCUGGCUCAUCUGUUUAUGUCUUUAGGAACAUCAGUAUUCAUCUGAGGAGUCAGUGCCUCUCGGAAAGCUGCCAAAAUAACUUGUAGGGUCACUUAAACACUAAUUAAAGAAAUCUUCACCCAGGAACAUUAAGGGAGUUAAGAUAAAAUGUUCCCGAUGCUGUCAGAAUUCACAAAAACCGGAAUUGACUGGAAAUCAUAAAUGAUUCUCAAAGCAGGAAAAAACAAAAAAGAAAUAUCAUCUAAAAAUUUGUUAGUAGAGAGAUUUGGUCUGGUGCUGACAGAACUACACGAUUUUACUGGCGAGUCACUCGAGCGUUGUGGAGAUGCCGUUUCUGAGGUAAACAAAAUUUUAGAAUUUAGAAAAUAAAGUUGUUACCAUUCACAAAUUUUGUUUAAGUGAGAGAUUCUAACUUUUCCCCUUCGUUCUACCAGAGAGAAAAAAGCAUUUAGACUCGCUACAGUCGUGGCAUCAGAAAAAGGCGCUAAAAAGAGACAAUGUAACGGCCCAGGGUGCUCCGAACUUCAGUGGGGAGACAACCGGA
Non-coding RNA from Chlorocebus sabaeus (green monkey), 631 nucleotides. Lineage: Eukaryota; Metazoa; Chordata; Mammalia; Primates; Cercopithecidae. The record is from RefSeq and is a predicted model, not a curated record.